RNAcentral lists this ribosomal RNA (528 nucleotides) under Aureobasidium pullulans. Its description in RNAcentral is "eukaryotic LSU rRNA". The stretch from base 169 to 322 matches the Rfam family "5.8S ribosomal RNA". The record is from RNAcentral. Lineage: Eukaryota; Fungi; Ascomycota; Dothideomycetes; Dothideales; Saccotheciaceae.
GCUCAGCGCCCGACCUCCAACCCUUUGUCGUUAAAACUACCUUGUUGCUUUGGCGGGACCGCUCGGUCUCGAGCCGCUGGGGAUUCGUCCCAGGCGAGCGCCCGCCAGAGUUAAACCAAACUCUUGUUAUUUAACCGGUCGUCUGAGUUAAAAUUUUGAAUAAAUCAAAACUUUCAACAACGGAUCUCUUGGUUCUCGCAUCGAUGAAGAACGCAGCGAAAUGCGAUAAGUAAUGUGAAUUGCAGAAUUCAGUGAAUCAUCGAAUCUUUGAACGCACAUUGCGCCCCUUGGUAUUCCGAGGGGCAUGCCUGUUCGAGCGUCAUUACACCACUCAAGCUAUGCUUGGUAUUGGGCGUCGUCCUUAGUUGGGCGCGCCUUAAAGACCUCGGCGAGGCCACUCCGGCUUUAGGCGUAGUAGAAUUUAUUCGAACGUCUGUCAAAGGAGAGGAACUCUGCCGACUGAAACCUUUAUUUUUCUAGGUUGACCUCGGAUCAGGUAGGGAUACCCGCUGAACUUAAGCAUAUCAA